Molecule: transfer RNA, 69 nt
Filed under: Neotoma lepida (desert woodrat)
Lineage: Eukaryota; Metazoa; Chordata; Mammalia; Rodentia; Cricetidae
Rfam family: tRNA
About the family: Transfer RNA (tRNA) molecules are approximately 80 nucleotides in length. Their secondary structure includes four short double-helical elements and three loops (D, anti-codon, and T loops).
Source: Rfam by way of RNAcentral
UGUGCUGUAGCUCAAUGGUAGAGUGCUUAUCUGGUAUACACAAGACAUGGGGUUCAAUCCCCAGCACCA